CCAUGUUCGCGCACAGCACCUCAUUGAAAGUAAACAGUCGUUCCUGCAGCAACUACUCACUGCGGUUAAAGCAGGUCGAAUUAUUGAGUACUGAGACUUCUGACUACGGGUUCUGCUGCUGCUGCUGCUGCUGCUAGGAGACCAUGACUUCACUCACUCUGAAAGGAGUGACAGUGAACUUCCCAUUUGUUCCAUAUGACUGUCAGAAGGACUACAUGAGCAAAGUGAUAGAGUGUCUCCAGGAGAAGGCCAAUGGGGUUCUGGAGAGUCCGACAGGUACCGGUAAAACUCUGUGCCUGCUCUGUGCCACCCUGGCCUGGAGGGAGCGCUUCAAGGACACCAUCUCUGCUCGCAAGAUCACAGAGAAGCUGAAAGGAGAGGAGAUGUUCUCCAACACCCCGCUGUCCUCCUGGGGGACGGCUGCCACAGACGGAGACACACCAACCUACUACACUGAUGUUCCCAAGAUCAUUUACGCAUCCAGGACACACUCUCAGCUGGCUCAGGUUAUCAAGGAGUUAAAGAAUACUUCCUACAAGCCAAAGGUGUGUGUUCUGGGAUCGAGAGAGCAGCUGUGUAUCAACCCUGAAGUCAUGAAACAGCAGAGCAACCAUGUUAAGGUCCAUUCGUGCAGAGCCAAAGUUUCCACAAGAUCAUGUGUCUACUACAAUAACGUGGAAGAGAAGAGCACUGACAAAGAGUUGGUGAAUUCAGUCCUCGACGUGGAAGACUUGGUCAAAUUUGGCAACAAACAGAGGGUCUGUCCUUACUACCUGUCCCGGUCCCUGAAGCAGCAGGCAGACAUUGUUUUCACGCCGUACAACUACCUGCUGGAUCCAAAGAGCCGCAGAGCGCACAACAUCGAGCUGAACGGAGCGGUGGUCAUCUUCGAUGAAGCUCACAAUGUGGAGAAGACGUGUGAAGAAUCCACAUCCUUUGACCUGACUCCAUAUGAUGUGGCCUCCGCCAUCACUGCUGUGGACCGGCUGCUGGCGGAGCAGGCGAAAGAGGCCAGCCAUGGAGACACUGUCAGUGACUUCAACGUGGAGUCCCUCAACUCUGGUUUAAAAUUGGAAUUAGCUACCAUUGCUAAAAUUAAACAGAUACUGCUGGAUCUGGAAACCGUCAUCGAUUCCUAUGAUGUUCCAAAUGAAGUAGGCAUCACAAAACCUGGAAUCUUCAUCUAUGAGCUGCUGGAGAGAGCCCAUCUGACCUACAGCUCCAAGACGGCUGUGCAGGAGGCUCUGGAGCAGAUCACUGGAUACCUCGCAGGACAGCCGGGGGUGUUUGUGAACACAAGUGGACUGCAGCAGCUGACUAAUAUCAUACAGCUGGUGUUCUGUGGGGAACCAUCAGAAAAGGAGAAACAGCAGCAGAUGGAGACCAACACGGCUCAUUUUAAGGUUCAUAUCCAUCAAGACACCAGCCAUCAGAAGAAAAACCAGAGCACGGAUGUCUGGGCUUCAUCAUCAUCAUCAUCAAAGAAACAAGGCAACAUCUUGAGUUACUGGUGCUUCUCUCCGGGCUACAGCAUGCAGAGCCUGGUGGAUCAAGGGGUCCGCUGCAUCAUUCUGACCAGCGGGACCCUCUCCCCCCUCUCCUCCUUCACCUCUGAGAUGAGGAUAAAGUUCCCUGUGAGUCUGGAGAACAGUCAUGUGAUCGAGCGGGACCAGAUCUUUGUGAGCGUCAUCGAGCGCGGCCCGGAUGGAGAGCAGCUCAGCUCAGCGUUUGCUAGAAGAUUUAUUCCUGAAAACAUGUCAUCUUUAGGCAAAACAGUUGCUAACCUGAGCCGAGUGAUUCCUCAUGGCCUCCUGGUGUUCUUUCCAUCCUUCUCUGUGAUGGAAACAACCCUGGACUUCUGGAGAGCUAACGGACAUGCAGAUCGCAUUGAGACUGUAAAGCCCAUGUUUGUUGAACCUAGAGGAAAGGGCACCUUUAAUGAGGUUAUGGACGGAUAUUACAACAAAGUCAAUGAUCCAUCAUCCAAAGGGGGAAGCUUUUUCGCUGUGUGUCGAGGAAAGGCGAGUGAGGGUCUGGAUUUUGCAGACACCUUUGGUCGGGGUGUGGUCAUCACCGGCCUUCCUUUCCCCCCGAGGAUGGACCCUCGAGUCGUCCUGAAGAUGCAGUUCCUGGAUGAGAUGUGUCGGAAGAAAGCUCCUGGGGUGAAGUACCUGUCUGGGCAGGAGUGGUACAGCCAGCAGGCUUUCAGAGCUGUGAACCAGGCCAUUGGCAGAGUCAUUCGCCACAAGGACGACUACGGAGCCAUCCUGCUGUGUGAUCAGAGGUUUAAAAGCUCUAAUGCACGGGCCCAGCUUCCCUCCUGGGUCAGGCCUUACGUGCGUGUGUACAGCAGCUUUGGGAAUGUGAUCCGAGACCUGUCCCAGUUCUUCAGGGUGGCCCAGAAACUGAGGCCUGUGGCAGAGAAGAAGGGUGCAGCAGAGAGCUGUGAGGCAGUGUGUCUAUCAGCCCCUCUGUCCUCCUGCUCCACUUCCUGCUCACCAUCCCAAAGCUCCAUCACCCAGAAGGCCAAGGUGCUGGACGCCCACCUCCCCAGCCUGAAGAGGAGGAGACUGAAUGACCACUCUGGAGCCGCUGGGAUGGCCAGGAUCUGUGUGGAGUAUGAGUGUGAGCUGCAGGAGAGUCAGAGGAGGCCCGCCAACCUGCUGGAUGCUCUGGAGCGGGGGGACCACCACAGUGGGGAGGACGAGGGUGCUGCUGUGGGAGAAGAGAAGGCAAACCAUUUGUCCACACUGUCUCUGCAGUGUGACAAGAGGAUGGACGAUGAAAUGCGGGGAGGAAAACGUAAAAUCAAACUUGUCCAGCAACAGAAGAAGUCGCAGGUGUCGGAGGUGGUCUCUGGGGAGGGGACCUCCAGCAGGGUGAAGGGUUUCCUGGCAGAGAUGAAGAAGUCUCUGAGCCAGUGCAACUUUGAGCAGAUCGUUCAGACUCUGCAGACCUACAAGAAGACUGACGACCUGGAUGUGCUGCUGACGGACACAGCGGUGCUGACGGAGGACGCCAACACCUACAGCCUGCUCCGCGGCCUGUACCAGUUCAUCCGGCCCCAUCACAAGCAGAGGUUUGACGAGCGGUGCAGGGAACUGACGGCGGGGGGCUGCGGCUACGAGCCCAGCCACUCUCUGUCUGUGGAGGAGAAGAAGGCCCUGCUGAACAGCGCUGCAAUCAGACGGCCUGCUGUGGGUGUGAAACCCCCCCCCUCCCCCUCCACCUCCACCUGCAGUCAGCUGAACACAGAGCAGCUCAACAAGGGAGGACUCCACCUGAGCCAGAGGCCUCACACUGCUGCAGUCAGACGGCAUGCUGUGGGUGUGACCCCCCCCCCCCUCCACCUGCAGUCAGCUGAACACAGAGCAGCUCAACAAGGGAGGACUCCACCUGAGCCAGAGGCCUCACACUGGUCCUGCUCUGAAGAGUGAGGCCCACGCUUCCUUUCAGGCUGAUGUGAAGAAGGCCAUCGGAGCAGAGAAGACGGCGCUGCUGCUGCAGGCCAUCCAGAGCUACAAGAGGAGCGACUGCUACGAGGCCCUGGUGGGCACCGCCGUGAGCCUGUUCACAGAGAGGGACCAGGACUUCCAGCUGCUAGUCCGAUUUGGCACGUUUAUUCCCCCCCGCCAUAAGAAGCAGUACAAAGAGAUGUUGCAGGCUCUGACGGGCCAGUCCUCCUCUGCUGAGGUUCCUGCUGUGACUGAAGACGAGCAAAGACACGGGGAAACACUGACACCAUUGAGAUUCCACUGUCUUCAUCACACCUAGAACAAUGACAGAGCUCUUCAAACCAGAAGCUGCUUCAUCUUCCCCACCUCUCAAGACCCAAAGCAAGAUUUCCAGUUUUUUCUCCAGCAGCCAAAGAAAGUAGAAUAUUUCACAGCUGCCUGGGCCUAGUGGCCCACAGGCGGCGUUUAUCCAGCUGACUCCACCUCCAUCUGUGCCUGCCCCCAGGUCAAGAUCUACCGUGGCUCAAGGGCCUUCACCAGAGCCAACACCAUCAAGGACCAGAGGACCAGCAUCACUACAGCGGCCUCCAUCUCCAUCUGUGCCUGCCACAAGAUUAAGAUACCCCUCGGUACAAAGGCCUCCACCACAGCCAUCACGAUCAACCCAGCCAGCAAAGAAGUCUCGCCUAUCACACGUACCUCCCGCACAGCCACCAGCAUCAACCCGGGACAAUCCCACCUACCUCCCUCCGACACAGCCACCAGCAGCCCAUGCACCAUCAGCUGCACCUACACAGCAGCCAGACCCACUGUCUUGGAAGACAGACAAAGACCAUGCCACUGCUCCCCCUGCCUUUACGUUUAUAAUGAAUAGUUGGUUGAAAAAGUUCUGUUAUUGUAAAUAUUGAGAUUUUACAGUUUCUUAUAAAUAGUUGGUUGAAAAAUAAAGUUCUAAUGCUCAA
This is an RNA transcript of Trematomus bernacchii (emerald rockcod), 4417 nucleotides long. It is a transcript of the gene named regulator of telomere elongation helicase 1, with no coding region annotated. The record is from RefSeq and is a predicted model, not a curated record. The transcript is spliced from 36 exons. Lineage: Eukaryota; Metazoa; Chordata; Actinopteri; Perciformes; Nototheniidae.